Molecule: ribosomal RNA, 254 nt
Filed under: uncultured bacterium
Lineage: Bacteria
Description: partial 16S ribosomal RNA
Rfam family: Bacterial small subunit ribosomal RNA
Source: RNAcentral
CACGUAGGGUGCGAGCGUUGUCCGGAAUUAUUGGGCGUAAAGAGCUCGUAGGCGGUGUGUCGCGUCGAUCGUGAAAACUUGGGGCUUAACCCUGAGCUUGCGGUCGAUACAGGCAUCACUUGAGUUCGGCAGGGGAGACUGGAAUUCCUGGUGUAGCGGUGAAAUGCGCAGAUAUCAGGAGGAACACCGGUGGCGAAGGCGGGUCUCUGGGCCGAUACUGACGCUGAGGAGCGAAAGCGUGGGGAGCGAACAGG